CCUACGGGUGGCAGCAGUGGGGAAUAUUGCACAAUGGGGGAAACCCUGAUGCAGCGACGCCGCGUGAGUGAAGAAGUAUUUCGGUAUGUAAAGCUCUAUCAGUAGGGAAGAAAAUGACGGUACCCGAUUAAGAAGCCCCGGCCAACUACGUGCCAGCAGCCGCGGUAAUACGUAGGGGGCAAGCGUUGUCCGGAUUUACCGGGUGGAAAGGGAGCGUAGAUGGCAGGACAAGUCAGGAGUGAAAUGCCGGGGCUUAACCCUGUAACUGCAUUGGAAACUGUGCAGCUAGAGUGCAGGAGAGGUUAGUGGAAUUCCUAGUGUAGCGGUGAAAUGCGUAGAUAUUAGGAGGAACACCAGUGGCGAAGGCGGCUUACUGGGCUGUAACUGACGUUGAGGCUCGAAAGCGUGGGGAGCAAACAGGAUUAGAUACCCUGGUAGUC
This 440-nucleotide ribosomal RNA is filed under the name uncultured bacterium. Its description in RNAcentral is "partial 16S ribosomal RNA". It matches the Rfam family "Bacterial small subunit ribosomal RNA", at positions 338 to 795 of the family's 1533-position model. The record is from RNAcentral.